RNAcentral lists this ribosomal RNA (529 nucleotides) under uncultured bacterium. RNAcentral describes it as "bacterial SSU rRNA". It matches the Rfam family "Bacterial small subunit ribosomal RNA", at positions 8 to 526 of the family's 1533-position model. The record is from RNAcentral.
AGAGUUUGAUCAUGGCUCAGAUUGAACGCUGGCGGCAGGCCUAACACAUGCAAGUCGAACGGCAGCGGGAAAGUAGCUUGCUCUCGGGUGACGAGUGGCGGACGGGUGAGUAAUGUAUGGGGAUCUGCCCGAUAGAGGGGGAUAACUACUGGAAACGGUAGCUAAUACCGCAUAACGUCGCAAGACCAAAGAGGGGGACCUUCGGGCCUCUUGCCAUCAGAUGUGCCCAGAUGGGAUUAGCUAGUAGGUGGGGUAACGGCUCACCUAGGCGACGAUCCCUAGCUGGUCUGAGAGGAUGACCAGCCACACUGGAACUGAGACACGGUCCAGACUCCUACGGGAGGCAGCAGUGGGGAAUAUUGCACAAUGGGCGCAAGCCUGAUGCAGCCAUGCCGCGUGUAUGAAGAAGGCCUUCGGGUUGUAAAGUACUUUCAGCGGGGAGGAAGGCGAUAAGGUUAAUAACCUUGUCGAUUGACGUUACCCGCAGAAGAAGCACCGGCUAACUCCGUGCCAGCCGCCGCGGUAAUAC